This 65-nucleotide transfer RNA is filed under the name Cortodera humeralis. RNAcentral describes it as "tRNA-Asn". Lineage: Eukaryota; Metazoa; Arthropoda; Insecta; Coleoptera; Cerambycidae. The record is from RNAcentral.
UUAAUUGAAACCAAAUUAGAGGUAUUUCACUGUUAAUGAAAAAAUUGAAUAUUAUUCCAAUUAAA